This 224-nucleotide ribosomal RNA is filed under the name uncultured bacterium. Its description in RNAcentral is "partial 16S ribosomal RNA". It matches the Rfam family "Bacterial small subunit ribosomal RNA", at positions 29 to 229 of the family's 1533-position model. The record is from RNAcentral.
AGCGAACGUUAGCGGCAGGCCUAACACAUGCAAGUCGAGCGAGAAAGAGGACUUCGGUCCUCGAGUACAGCGGCGUACGGGUGAGUAACACGUGGGUAAUCUGCCCUUCGGUGGGGGACGAACAACCCGAAACGGGUUAGGCUAAUACCGCAUUCGCCGGCAUGACCUGUGGAUUAUGCCGGGAAAGUAGGGCCUCUACUUGUAAGCACACGCCGAAGGAGGAG